Cavia porcellus (domestic guinea pig) is the source of this 7192-nucleotide long non-coding RNA. RefSeq lists it as uncharacterized. The transcript is spliced from 2 exons. NCBI's taxonomy places the organism in Eukaryota, Metazoa, Chordata, Mammalia, Rodentia, Caviidae. The record is from RefSeq and is a predicted model, not a curated record.
AAUAAAGCAAGCAAGUUUUCCAGACCUUAACUUGACCUGACCUGACUACAAAUAGAAUGUCAGUACGCAGGACUAAAGUAGCUAUGACACCUUUCAGAAACAGUCAGCCAGAAUCUUAUAAAUUCUGUGCAGAGGCGGUUUUAUUUGAGAAGCUGGGCACUCCAAGAUGCUUUCUCUUUCUCCUCCUCCCCCCUUCCUCUUCCUCUUUCUUCCUCCUCCUCCUUCCACUUCCUCUUCCUGUACUGUACUCUCUGAUAGGAGGGAAGACACUUAACAGAGGACGAAAGUAAUUUAUUUGCUUAUCAUCACUCCAUAUUCGGACCCAACUUUUCCCACGAACCUUGUAUUUUAUUGAUUCCUAAAUUGUUUAUAAAAUGAUGUGCCUUGAAAAACUGAAGUCCCACACAUAAAAUCGAGAAAUAGGCUUGUUUAAGGGCUCUGCUCUAGGAAGAUGGCGGUGAGCUGUAGACUGCACUGCUGGAUGUGAACUCCGAGCUGACGUUUGCACAGUUGGAAAUAGAAAGGAAAGAGAACACAAGGAGAUGAAUAUUGAGAAAAGGUUCGAGCUGCAGAGAAGGAAGGUUCCUGUCAGAUGGCCUGUGACUGUUCAGUGACGUCUAAGACAGAGUCACCUCUAAAGCAUGAAGCUGGCAAAAGACACUUUCAAACACUCUAAAGCAUGACACUUUCAAGAGAAUAAGAAAACUUGUGUGUAAGCCCAAUUAUAAUUUGUACUGAUUUUUUUCAAAGCUGACUUCCAUUAUAAUCUUAUAGUAUGUUUUACUCAGAUUUGUUAAAUUCUUAUUCUUUAAUAGAAAAUUCCAGCAUUAUGAAAGAACUUUCCAAUAGCUCUUUAUCAAAGACAUCCAGGAGAAAAACACUGUGGCAGCCUUUGUGAUAUUACUGACCUGGGAACCACUGGUGUAUAGCAUUUAGAACCAACUAUUUUGAUAAAUAGUUUCAUCAAAGAGCUUUAUUCUAAGUAUAAAUUAUUCUGCUGUUUUCCUAUGGAUUUCAGAACUUGUCAUCUGCCUCAGAGCUAGUGUUUUGGUCCUGUAGAAAGGUUCACAGGUUUCCUACACUUAGUCCAAAAGCUGGCAGCCAAUGAAGUCUUUGAGUUAUGCUAGAAGUACAAAGACUUCCAUCACACUCACAACACCAUAGAUACUGUCAUCACAUGCCAGGAGCCUCAGCCUGAUGGGCUGUGUCCCUCCCUCUUAGAAUACGGUGCAGAUCUUGGUCCUCUGAGCCUUCCUCUGUUCACUCUAUGAGAGUAGGCAACUAUGAAAUACCAUCUUUCGGUACACACUGGACUGGGGCACAAUUACAUUUGGGAUAAUUGUCUUAUAGCUCCAUAGACCUGGCUCCCUCUGAGUUGUGCUAGCAAUACUGGAUUUUGUUGAACUGAAUCAAUCCAAAUAUGAGAACAUAAAGUCAGUUCUCCAGAAUAAGCUCAGACACCCUAUGAUGUGCUUGACAGGGCACUUCCAAGUUCCAACAGUCUCUACCACUGUGUAGGGGUUAUGGAAUAUUAUGGAAUAUAUGGGGGGUAUGUGUGUAGCUCAUGUUUCUGCAUUCUGACUUCUAUACUUACCAAAUUGCUUAAAAAACAAAGCCCAAAGUGAAUUUGAGAGCCCCAAAGGUGGUCUUUUCUGCAUUUAUUUUAGUGCGCCCAGACUGUCAGAAUCUUUCUUCUAGUUUAUGCUCUGAACACACCAUGGAGGAAUGUUUCUUAAACUAUGGUAGAGACCAAUACUCUAGAAUCAUUUGAAAUUAUUGCUUCAAAUGUUUGUUUAUGGCCUCCAUUCAGACAUAUUGAAUCAAAUUCACUGAAAAUGAGCUUAGAAAUAUGCAGUUUAAACAAGUACCCCCAGCCCUUCUCAUGUCUACUAAUAGUUGAAAAAUAUAGCUGUGUCAGCAUCCUUCCUAGCUAAGCUCUAGUUCAGAAUCUUCACAAAUGUUUGCUAUAAAUCUGUAACUAUCUGUGCUCUACCUGACCCAAUGACCUAGUCAAAGUUGUAUGAUUUGGGAGAGAAAGUUGUUGACUAGUAAUGAACCAUGAAGCCUAAAAUGAUCACAUGAAAAAGGGUCAUAUUUCUAAAAAAGGUAGAAACAAUGUUGCAACUAACACCCAAUCACCCAAAGAUUAAGUCAAAACUCCAUUUGUUGGUUUUAAUUCCUUCCUCGAGCCAAAGUCAGGGCAAACCAGGCCAUGUACCAAAAGCAGAGAGCAACAAGAUGUGCUUUCCAGGGCGAGAGAACUGUUGUGAGUGGGAACCCACAAAGACUGGAAAAGCUGGGAAUAUUUUGUACUGGCUGGUAGUUGUUGUAUAUUUAGAGCAAGGCAUAGAGCUACAGGAGCUGAGCCAGAGGGGUGAGGAGAUACUUGGAACGGCCCGCAUGGUCAAAAGACCCUGGCAAGAUCCAGCAGAAGAAGGGAGGAGCUGUCUAACAAGAAAACACUGUGUAAAUAGACAUCAACAAUAUACAACAGCUAAUCACAUGACACUGGCCAAAGCAGAGGAUUUUGUAGUUUAGGCAAUUCCAUACUAAUACUCUGAAUAUCACUAAUGUCAGCUCUUUUGUCUCACGAAGUGAGAGACCUCUUGAAACAAAGAUGCCUAAACACAGAAGUCUCAUGUAUUCUAUCCAAGGUACCAACUAGAUUAAGCCACACCAAAAACCAAAUCUAAACUUAAUCAGAAGCUGUUUUGUUAGUUCCUGUCCUGAAAGUUUCCCAAGUGUGUUUGUUUCAUACUUAGCUGGGUAAGAUGACUAUCAGAGAUUGGAAUUCAGCUUUAUCUCUCAAACAGAUAUUUGGCUAAUAAGGAUCAGUGACCACCAGCAGCUCACAACAUCCAUUCCAUUAACUUUGUGUAGUCUGAAUUAAUAGUCCCAACUUUGCAAAUAAGCAGAUGUCCUGGGAAGGACACCCAUUGGCCUACAUGAGGGUAGCAUAUGUGUUUCUUUGAUAUGAGAUUGUGGUUAUCAUGUGGAGCAGGGUAAUCAGCUCAUCCCACAUGGCCUCAUAUUCUUUCAGUUUUAAAACUGAAAGAGGGUCAUCUAUGUCAACAAACUUCUCAGUUCCAGGCAAUCCAGGAAGAUUGUCACACCAGGCAUGUGAGGUCAGCUGUACACUGUGUAGAAUGAAUUACUCAUAAGAAAGAACAUUUCUGUUACCAGAUAAAGAGAUAUGAGUGGCUAAAGGAGGCAGAAUGGUCCCUUAACCCACUUUGGAUCUAUGUGGAAUGGAUAGGAAAUGUCCUCAGUCAGCCCCCUUCUCUGAAGUACCACCAGGGCAGAUUUCUUCUAAUCAGGCUGGGGUUACAGAGCUGUUCUAGGUGACCACCUCAGAGUGUUUCCUCUGUCAAGGACUGAGAAUUCUCUUUAGGAUCCUUUGUAACCUCUCUAAGGCUGUUCAGUGAUCCUACUUCCUGACUUGGCCUGGAUAUGACUGUCGUCUGUGACCUGACAGCUUGCUCCUCACUUUCAUUUUUGUGUUUGUUCUGUUUCAUAAACUUACAUCAUCCUGGUCCCCCGAUUCACAGCUGCAUCAUUCUUGGAAUCAGCUGAGUAUACUUCACAAGGUCUAAGCAAACUCUGCCACUGAGAUCCAGCCAAGCCUUCUUGCAGUUACCACGGCUCCCACCACACCACUGUCCACCAAAAUCUCCUGUUGAAUUUUGAGAUGAAGGCUUAAUACUUUUGCCUACUAAUCCAGUUAACUCUAACUUGAACUCAAAACCUUGAAUCUUUUUACUGCACCACAUUCUAUCACAUAAUAUGAUGAUGAUAGCUAGUUAAAGAAGGUCACAACUGACAGCUGAAGACUAUUAUUUUUAAAAUUCUGCUUUUUGAUUUCUUUUUAUUUUAUAUAUAACUGGUUUAUUUACUUUUCUCUUAUUGCUGAGACAAAAUACCUGAUGUCCAAAUUUAAGGAAGAAGAGGUUUAUUUAGCUCACAGUUUGUGGAAGUUUCAGUCCACAAUCAGCUGGCUCCAAGGCAGGGUGGCACAUGGCAGAAGGAAAACUAACCACUCAUGGUGGUAGAAGACAGCAAAAGCAACAAAAGAAUAAGGGGGAAAAAAGCAAGUCUCUUUUCCUCUCUUACAUUACAUUCAGGCUACUCACCCUAGGGAGGGUCCUCUACAGAACAGGUAGAUACAAAAGAGAUUGAGGGCAGCAAACAUGCAAUAUCAGACAUGGCAUCAGUGAACAUAAAGAGAUAUCUUUGGGACCUCAUACAUGAGCUCAAAAGUGAAAUAUUUAAUCAACAAAGCAAAAUAUAAGUAGAUGUGUCGGGGUCGCUCCCGGCCGGCAGGAAAGACACACGACAAAGUCUGGCGGUGUGCAACCUUGCCUUUAUUUGUCUCCGCGUGGGCCCCGCGAGGCCUCCUCUCUGCCACCAGCCCUCUCUCGCCGGUGGACUUUCUCUAUCUCUCUCUGUGCUUCUUCCCUCGUGGCGGGAGAGGCAUUCACUUUUAUAGGGUAACAGUGGCCAAUCAGUUCAAAGCGCGCGAUGCGGGCUGAUUGGCUAACAUCAGUUGUUGCUAGGCAGACUAUCUUACAGAGCAGGUUGUUUAAGUCGCCAGCGCAAUCAGGGGGCAGGAAGCAGGCGCCAACUUGGCUCACUCGAUGGGAGGGGCAAUCUAGCUCAGGCUCCGCUCCCACCCACAGGCCCUACGUCCACCAAGUAAGGCGACCGGUGUCGGCCGUGGCUCCCAACAUAGAUGAAUAAAAGAAAUGCUAAGCACCUCUUAAGAAGACACAGAAGAAUGGAGGAACACAAAAAAAGGAGAGAAACAGUCAAUGAAGAAUAUAAAGAAAACCUAGAAUACAUGAAGCAGGUUCAAAGAAAGUCCCAGGAAAUAAAAAAAACUCAAUUGAAAGCUGGCAAAACUGCUUGAAAGAAACUAAAGGUAGACAGUCAAAACUUGAAGAUAGGCUUGCAAUGUAGGAUCAUGAAAGGAAAAAUUUCUUAAAAAUAACAAGGAAACAGGCAGUAACAAUACAAAGGCUAGAAGAUGAUAAGAGGAUCUAUAACUUAAGAAUAAAGAAUGUGAAUGAAGAAGCAGGAGUAAGAAAAAAGGAAAUACAAAGGCUAUUCAGAGAAAUAAUUAAGGAAAACUUCCCAAGCAUAGGAAAAGGAAUUGAUUUUCAGAUGUAUGAGGUAUACAGAACUUUAGCCACCUACAACCAAAACAGAGCUACACCCAGACAUAUAAUAAUCAAGAUUCCAGAAAUUCAGUAUAAGAACAGAAUAUUGAAAGCUAUCAGAGAUAAGAAACAGAUUGCCUAUAAAGGAAAACCCAUCAAAAUCAUGGCAGACUUCUUGACACAGACCAUCAAAUCAAGAAGAGCUUGGGGUGAAGUAUUCCAAGCUCUGAAAGAAAAUAACCUCCAGCCCAGAUUGAUGUACCCAGAAAAACUGUCUCUAGAAAUUAAUGGAGAAACAAGAUGCUUCCAAGACAAAGAGGAACUGGGGGAAUUCGCAACCACCAAUCUGACUCUACAGAGAAUACUGAAGGACAUUCUAGAGAGAGAGAAAGUACCAGGUUUUCAGGAACAGUGGCAGAGAGGCCUCAAUGAAUGGGUAAGAAAGUGAAAUGAAGGAUAAAAGCAGACAACUAAUGGCAGAAAAAUAGCACAACAAAUGGCAGAGAAAGUUGGCUAUAAUCUGUAAUAUAAAUGGCAUUGAUACACUAAAUAAAAAAAGCAGAAACACACACAGAGUAGAUCAGGGGAUAGGGUCCACCAAGGUGUCCUUUGUAGGAAAUAUAAUUUAUCUGAUAAGGGUAUAUGGACCAAAAAUCAAAUAUGAGAAAACAGUACUCUAUGUGACUGGGAACCAGAGAGUAAUAGGGGCAACUAGAUCAGUAUUUGUGGAUAGGUUGGAAAAACAGGCAUUAAUAGGUAAAGGAAUACAACUAAAGGUCAAGUCCAAGAAGGAGAAGGUUCAGAACCACUUAGGUAAAUAGCAGGUUGCCCACCCCAAUUUAAAACCAAGGGUUUGGUGAAACCCAAAAAUGCACAGUGCAGCCUGGGGAGUGAAAGGGAAGGGAUAGUCUUUAAAAAGACAGCAAAAGAUAUUGUCAAUAGUGUAUCAGGAAUUAAAACCCACAUUACUCACACCGCUGUGCUUAGAUAGAAUUUAUUCUGUCCCAGUUUGUCUACAUGCACUAGAUCUGAGGGCACAGAGAGCUAUCACAAAAAUAUCAUGAUAUAGCACAGUAAUCAUCUUUAAUUUCCUAUUAUCUUAAUCUGGAUCCCUAUAUAACUUAUACUGUUUUAUCAUGACUGAUCUUAGUUAAAUCUGGUUUAUUUGAUUGCUGUUUGGUAUUGACAGAUUUUAUUCAAAACUGUUAUAAUAGAUAGUAUCAAGUCUGAGAGUAUAGGCAACUAAACUGAAGAUGACAAGACUAUGAAUACACAUUCUGGUUUGAUAACUGCCUGCUUUUGAAGUUUUAUACUAUAUACAAAGUUGUGUUUUUAUUAAUACUGUUAUGUACUGAUAUAUUCAAUUAUACUAUGUCUGAUGAUAUAGCCAAUUCUAUUGAAGAUAACAAAAGACAACACAGUAACCAUGGUAGAACUCCUUAUACAGCAGUUUUAUAUGUCUUCUUCAUUUUAUGUGUUUAUAGGAAUAUGUUUUGUUUUGUCCUGCUUUAUUUUGUUUCUCCCUCGAAUAUAGAAAGGAUAGAAAUAUAUGUUAAGACUCAUGCAUGCAUAGAACCUAUAAACAGUUUAUGAGAACUGAUCUUAUGACAUAUGAUAAAAUGAACAAAUACUUUGAAGAAAAAGAGAUACUACAGUACCCAGAGCUGAUCCUGGAGUGUUAUGAUGUGAAAUCCAGCAAUUCGUUGUUCAGAGUGAUUUAGCCUGCUUUGGUUUAUUUAAUCUCAACAUAAAUGAAGAUAUGGAUAACCACAUGUCUGGUUAAGUGUAUAAGAUUGAUAACCAUAUUACCAAGUUUUUGUUGGAUAGUUUAACACAAUUGUUUGCAGUCUCACUGUUUGAAUCCCAACUUUAUAUGUUCCACUUUUGUAUCUUGAACAACUAUUUGUUAGAGGACAAUAUGUAAAAAUCAACCAGUGAUUUCUUACUGUUAAUUUUUUCUUUGAAAGUAUGUGCUAUUUCUACCUGUUUUCUGUUUUAUUUAGUCUCUCUUUAAAUAAAAAAAAUUUUUAAAUGAG